RNAcentral lists this ribosomal RNA (253 nucleotides) under uncultured bacterium. RNAcentral describes it as "partial 16S ribosomal RNA". It matches the Rfam family "Bacterial small subunit ribosomal RNA", at positions 524 to 776 of the family's 1533-position model. The record is from RNAcentral.
UACGUACCGUCCAAACGUUAUUCGGAAUUACUGGGUUUAAAGGGUACGUAGGCGGCGCUGUUAGUCGGGUGUGAAAUCCCUCGGCUCAACCGAGGAACUGCGCCCGAUACUGCAGUGCUUGAGGGAGACAGAGGUAAGCGGAACUGAUGGUGGAGCGGUGAAAUGCGUAGAUAUCUGGAGGAACACCGGUGGCGAAGGCGGCAUCCUGGACCAACACUGACACUGAGGAGCGAAAGCCAGGGGAGCAAACGGG